CAGACCCUCUCCUCAGACCAGACCCCUCAGACCAGACCCCCCAGACCAGACCCCCCAGACCAGACCCUCUCCUCAGACCAGACCCUCACAGCUUGUUCCUCACAGAGAGAAAACUAACUUGAGAUCUCUUCUGCUUCUUCCUGCUCACUCACUGUCUCACUCUCUCUCUGUCUCACUCUCUCGCUGUCUCACUCUCUCGCUGACGCACUCUCUCUCUGUCUCACUCUCUCUCUGUCUCACUCUCUCUCUGUCUCACUCUCUCGCUGACGCACUCUCUCUCUGUCUCACUCUCUCUCUGUCUCACUCUCUCUCUGUCUCACUCUCUCUCUGUCUCUCUGUCUCUCGCUCUCUAUCUCUCCUCUCUCGGUCGUUCAGGAGGUGGCUAAUGACACCACUACCUUAUAAGGGGGAUGUUACCAUACUCUAUCUCUCUCUGUACCUGACUCUAAGGUGUGUGGUUGUGUGUUUUGUGAUGUGUGAUGUGUGUGUGUGUGUGUGUGUGUGUGUGUGUGUGUGUGUGUGUGUGUGUGUGUGUGUGUGUGUGUGUGUGUGUGUGUGUGUGUGUGUGUGUGUGUGUGUGUGUGAUGUGUAUUGUGCGCGAGCAGUGCAUUCAUAACAUUCGUUUUCACAGAAAUCACGUGCCCGCGCUGAGAGAGUCGUUUCCCGGGUUUUUUCCACUGCGAGUCAACGGUGUCGCAGCGAAGAGACUUUCUUUGACUUCCUUUCACCUGAUUAACUUGUUUUAGAAACACUUUAACCUCCGUUUCUUCCCUUACAUUUAAACUUUUACAACUUUAUACCGUAUGGACGCAAUAUAAUCCCGGAGUAGAUACGAUAAGGUCUCUAGUCUACUAUGGAUGAGGAGAGAGAGGAGGGGGGUACUACCUCUAAGACCACUCUGUCUGGGGAACAUGGCCGCCGGAGCAAAGCUAAGAGCCCAGAGCAGCAGCAGAGAGCAGACUCCCCUGGACCCAGCUGUGUCUCCAUGAUGAGUGACAGCUCUAUGGAACAUCCUUUUAACUUUAAAGAUGGAAAUCAGUCUAUUGAGAAAAGAGUCCAGCAGCAGAGAGCAGACUCCCCUGGACCCAGCUGUGUCUCCAUGAAGAGUGACUGGUCUAUGGGUCAUCCUGUUACCUUUAAAGAUGGAAAUCAGUCUAUUGAGAAGAGGUGAGGAUUCAUCACACAUUAUAAAGGUACCGCUUCCAUCAAACAUCCAUAAAUCCUAGUUCUUAUUUUUCUCGACGAGUCCAGCAGGAGUGAGAAGGCUCUUGUUAUCAGACUUUACUGUGUGUGUGUGUGUGUGUGUGUGUGUGUGUGUGUGUGUGUGUGUGUGUGUGUGUG
Long non-coding RNA from Gadus morhua (Atlantic cod), 1341 nucleotides. RefSeq lists it as uncharacterized. The record is from RefSeq and is a predicted model, not a curated record. The transcript has 4 exons. Lineage: Eukaryota; Metazoa; Chordata; Actinopteri; Gadiformes; Gadidae.